Molecule: ribosomal RNA, 717 nt
Filed under: Bacillus cereus
Lineage: Bacteria; Bacillati; Bacillota; Bacilli; Caryophanales; Bacillaceae
Description: bacterial SSU rRNA
Rfam family: Bacterial small subunit ribosomal RNA
Source: RNAcentral
GCAGUCGAGCGAAUGGAUUAAGAGCUUGCUCUUAUGAAGUUAGCGGCGGACGGGUGAGUAACACGUGGGUAACCUGCCCAUAAGACUGGGAUAACUCCGGGAAACCGGGGCUAAUACCGGAUAACAUUUUGAACCGCAUGGUUCGAAAUUGAAAGGCGGCUUCGGCUGUCACUUAUGGAUGGACCCGCGUCGCAUUAGCUAGUUGGUGAGGUAACGGCUCACCAAGGCAACGAUGCGUAGCCGACCUGAGAGGGUGAUCGGCCACACUGGGACUGAGACACGGCCCAGACUCCUACGGGAGGCAGCAGUAGGGAAUCUUCCGCAAUGGACGAAAGUCUGACGGAGCAACGCCGCGUGAGUGAUGAAGGCUUUCGGGUCGUAAAACUCUGUUGUUAGGGAAGAACAAGUGCUAGUUGAAUAAGCUGGCACCUUGACGGUACCUAACCAGAAAGCCACGGCUAACUACGUGCCAGCAGCCGCGGUAAUACGUAGGUGGCAAGCGUUAUCCGGAAUUAUUGGGCGUAAAGCGCGCGCAGGUGGUUUCUUAAGUCUGAUGUGAAAGCCCACGGCUCAACCGUGGAGGGUCAUUGGAAACUGGGAGACUUGAGUGCAGAAGAGGAAAGUGGAAUUCCAUGUGUAGCGGUGAAAUGCGUAGAGAUAUGGAGGAACACCAGUGGCGAAGGCGACUUUCUGGUCUGUAACUGACACUGAGGCGCG